GAUGAACGCUAGCUACAGGCUUAACACAUGCAAGUCGAGGGGCAGCAUGAACUUAGCUUGCUAAGUUUGAUGGCGACCGGCGCACGGGUGAGUAACACGUAUCCAACCUUCCGUUUACUCAGGGAUAGCCCUUCGAAAGAAAGAUUAAUACCUGAUAGUAUGGUGAGAUUGCAUGAUAGCACCAUUAAAGAUUUAUUGGUAAACGAUGGGGAUGCGUUCCAUUAGGUAGUAGGCGGGGUAACGGCCCACCUAGCCGACGAUGGAUAGGGGUUCUGAGAGGAAGGUCCCCCACAUUGGAACUGAGACACGGUCCAAACUCCUACGGGAGGCAGCAGUGAGGAAUAUUGGUCAAUGGGCGAGAGCCUGAACCAGCCAAGUAGCGUGAAGGAUGACGGCCCUAUGGGUUGUAAACUGCUUUUAUAAGGGAUAAAGUGAGUCUCGUGAGACUUUUUGCAUGUACCUUAUGAAUAAGGACCGGCUAAUUCGUGCCAGCAGCCG
This 498-nucleotide ribosomal RNA is filed under the name uncultured bacterium. Its description in RNAcentral is "bacterial SSU rRNA". It matches the Rfam family "Bacterial small subunit ribosomal RNA", at positions 28 to 517 of the family's 1533-position model. The record is from RNAcentral.